RNAcentral lists this ribosomal RNA (426 nucleotides) under uncultured Desulfovibrionaceae bacterium. RNAcentral's name for it is "bacterial SSU rRNA". It matches the Rfam family "Bacterial small subunit ribosomal RNA", at positions 356 to 774 of the family's 1533-position model. Lineage: Bacteria; Pseudomonadati; Thermodesulfobacteriota; Desulfovibrionia; Desulfovibrionales; Desulfovibrionaceae. The record is from RNAcentral.
GGGGAAUUUUGCGCAAUGGGCGAAAGCCUGACGGAGCGACGCCGGGGGGGGGAAUGAGGUUUUCGGAACGUAAACCUCUGUUAGAAGGGAAGAAAACGGCCCCUUCUAAUCCACGGGGGCCUUAAGGUUACUUCAAAAGAAACACCCGGUAACUCCCUGCCAGCAGCCGCGGUAAUACCGGAGGGGCAAGCGUUAAUCGGAAUUACUGGGCGUAAAGCGCACGUAGGCUGCUUUGUAAGUCAGGGGUGAAAUCCCACGGCUCAACCGUGGAACUGCCUUUGAUACUGCUUAGCUUGAAUCCGGGAGAGGGUGGCGGAAUUCCAGGUGUAGGAGUGAAAUCCGUAGAUAUCUGGAGGAACAUCAGUGGCGAAGGCGGCCACCUGGACCGGUAUUGACGCUGAGGUGCGAAAGCGUGGGGAGCAAACA